GAUGACGAACGUAGCGAAAUGCGAUAAGUAGUGUGAAUUGCAGAAUUCAGUGAAUCAUCGAAUCUUUGAACGCACAUUGCGCCCUUUGGUAUUCCUUAGGGCAUGCCUGUUCGAGCGUCAUUUAAACCUUCAAGCUAAGCUUGGUGUUGGGUGACUGUCCGCUUCACUGCGGACUCGCCUCAAAAUUAUUGGCGGCCGGUACAUUGGCUUCGAGCGCAGCAGAAACGCGAACUCGGGCCCGUCGUAUUGGCUCCCAGAAGCUAUCUUCACAAUUUUGACCUCGGAUCAGGUAGGGAUACCCGCUGAACUUAAGCAUAUCAAUAAGCGGAGGA
RNAcentral lists this unclassified non-coding RNA (332 nucleotides) under soil metagenome. RNAcentral describes it as "partial contains 5.8S ribosomal RNA, internal transcribed spacer 2, and large subunit ribosomal RNA". The stretch from base 1 to 120 matches the Rfam family "5.8S ribosomal RNA", at positions 35 to 154 of the family's 154-position model. The record is from RNAcentral.